Molecule: long non-coding RNA, 2472 nt
Organism: Petromyzon marinus (sea lamprey)
Lineage: Eukaryota; Metazoa; Chordata; Hyperoartia; Petromyzontiformes; Petromyzontidae
Source: RefSeq, a predicted model, not a curated record
GAAUGUUGCACCACCCAAGGUUGUGCGCGCCCCCUCUCUUCUUAUCUCCUCUCUCUCUCACGCACGCACGCGCGAGAGCCGACAACAUCAAUGGCGCGCGUACCCCCCACCACCACCACCACCCCACGCUUCAUGCGGCCACUGCCGGAGCAGUUGCACUGCCUGCCUGCACGCUCGAUAGCUGCGGCUACUGGGAGAGGGCCGUCUUCCGAGGGAGACUUGCACAAAGACUACGGUUGCCAGCUCUGAGACGCAAAAUAAGAUUUGAUGGUGCCAGAAGGAGGCGAAGCUGGAGCCGUAGGGAAGAAGAAGAAGACGAAGAUCGAGACUCAACGCUGCCCAUGGAACUUGAAAAAGAAAUGAAGACGGAAACGUUGGAACAUCUCCGGAGAAUGCCGACAACUCGGACCGCGCCACUUCUACGGCGACUCGAUCUUUUGAAGUUUUUCGGAGAGGAUUUUUUUUGACGUGCCUGCGUCUGUGUGUGGAGCCUUUGCAGAAAGCUGAUGCGUUAGAAAAAAUAUAAAUAUCUUAAACCCCGCCCUGAGGUUGGCGUUAUUUCCGUGUGUCGGCUUGUGAUCGCAAUCGGACAAGACAGCAAAGCAAUAAUGUAUGGCUUCUUACACUGUACAUACCGGUGUAUUAUUCAGCCCUUGUAUGUGGGUAUAUAUAUAUACUGUAUUCGAAAUAACGAUACUAUGUAAUUUAUCUUUUUGUGAUCCACAGAUCGCCGGUUCAAUCUCCUGGUGUGGCAGAUGAAACAAUGCUGCAGGUUUCUUAAAAUAAAACAAACCCAGCUAAAUAAACGGUUUACGCUGUAGUCGAUUGGCAAGUGACCUGCGGUGAGUGGGCCCUCCCCCGUCAUCAAAGACAUGUGGCCAUCGUGGAAGAGUAGGCCAAAUUACUCCGGGAGAAGAACCCUAGAAGUCCUGGAGGCCCUUCUGCCAGCAGUUUCGAUUUCAGUUUCAUUGAUUAAGUAAUAGCCCUGUGAGCUAUGCGGCUCUUGAAUCGGGUGCAACCACAACAAAACAAAAACAUGAACAAGAAAACAUCUUUGAGGUGACUACGCGCAAACAGAAUAAUCCUGGAAAAAAACCGGCAAAGUCUUUCAGAAGAAGCACCGUACACCAACGCUGUGUGCAAAAAUCCCAGUGGGAUGCAAGUCAAACAAUAGCAACCAUAAGACAAUUUAGAUUAAAGUUAUCGGUCUAACUCUGCACGACAACAAACAAACGUUUUCGAAAUUACCAAAAUAAAGCUAUAAAAACAAUGUAACAGUGACGUGGGCAAGACAUUUGCAAGGCCUGCACCUUUACAAUCUACGGCCAAUCGACUGCUGGAUGAAAGGUCUCCCCCCGAAGGCAUUUUGAUCGUGAGAGUCGUUUGACCAUACUUCACCACCCUGGUUGGUGACGUGGGGUGGGUACGAGCAGCAGAGUUGCAAUCGUCACGUGAUUUAAUUAAGGGGACAGUCUUAAAGCGUGUGCUCUGCAUUGUUAUUGGCGCAAUCUUUGUGACAGAGAUCCGUUUAUAAAACGCAUUGAAUUGAUUUCGGGAUGGGUUGGAGCGGUGGGGCGUGACCCGAGGUCAAUUUACUGGCCAUCUGUGACAAAGAGCUUCAUAGCUCAUCGUGAUUCCUCCAGUAUAAAUAAAUAUUCAGAUUCUGAUUCGAUUCUCGGCCAUGGCUGACAUCGGCGGUGAGUCUCGGUGAUAUCCGGUCUUCGGCACCCUCUUCGUCAUCCUUGCGCUGACCAGCGUGGUGGAGUAUGGUCAAACAGCCCGCCACGACUGUAAUCGUAUGGAGAAGCCGCCUUGCAGCAGUCGAGCUACAGAAUGACGGUGAGUUGAUUAGCAUGAUUCAAUUGAGUUAGUUUCACGCUUGGCGCAUCGAUCGCGCCAAGCGUGGGUGUCUGCGUCUUUGACCAGACAAUCGCAGUGCCACCUGCAAGUCGGCGCCGCGUUCAUUUCCAGGAAAUGCCCUGCAGGAUUGGAGUACAGGUUGGCAGAGUUGUCAGAGUCAGAUGGUGCUUUGUUAAACGGGGUUCUCGAGCUGCGUGUGUAUCUUGCGGAUUAAAAAAUAAACAUUAAAUAAGAGAGACCCCCCCCCCCUCCCUCCCCGUAUGAAACUGUCUUUUUUAGGUGCAAUACAUUUCUAUAACACAUAGGAUAUGUAUUUUAGAAGGAUAUGUAUUUUUGAAAUGUUGUGAAGCGGUGUGUAGUGAUUUGAACCCCCAGGCUACCCGAGUUUGAUUUCCAGCCACGGCGAACAUCAGCGGCGAGCGAUAUCCAAACCGGCCCUGUUUAUCCCACUUCAUCCAACGUUACCGGCCAGGAUUUGGCAGUAGAGGGUCAAACAACGCCCAUAACUGACACUUCUUGGACAGGACUUCGUCCGGCAGUGAAAAUGAAAACAUUGUUUGACACAUUUAGGGUGUUUCCCACCAAAGGUAUUUAAUGAAUGUGUCAUGGUAA